CAUACUUCAUUGAAUGGAGAUACGGAAUGAAGCUUAUCAUUGCCCGAAAUAUGCUUCAUAAUCCGUAUGUAAUUUCGGGUAGUCUA
This 86-nucleotide microRNA precursor is filed under the name Rehmannia glutinosa. Its description in RNAcentral is "miR7811 stem-loop (rgl-MIR7811)". The record is from miRBase by way of RNAcentral. Lineage: Eukaryota; Viridiplantae; Streptophyta; Magnoliopsida; Lamiales; Orobanchaceae.